Long non-coding RNA from Zea mays, 1060 nucleotides. RefSeq lists it as uncharacterized. Lineage: Eukaryota; Viridiplantae; Streptophyta; Magnoliopsida; Poales; Poaceae. The record is from RefSeq and is a predicted model, not a curated record. The transcript has 3 exons.
ACAAAUUACAAAUUAGGCGUCGUAUCCGUGGUCAGACUUGGCAAUCUGCAGGCCAAUCCGGGUUGGUUGGCUGUUGACCGAGCCGACGUGGACUUGAUUCAUGGGCACAGGGCACUCUUCUCUUGCUGGACCGGGGAGCUCCUCCGGCUCCUCCAAUGAAGUGGGUGAUGUGCACAGCAGGCGGCGGAUGACCAACAAUUCUCCAACUCCUGCCCGCUUCCACCUUCCUCAGACGUAACAGUACGGGGGACCAAUUCUCACGGAAGAUUCCGACCAAAGAAGCUGCUGACCUUCUCUUCCUGACGACGAGCUCACGAAUCACGACUAUGACAUGAGAUGCUAAACAGGAGGACUAGGGGUCUGUUUGGUUCAGCUUUUUUCUGACCAGCUUUUCUGAGAAUCUGGCUGUGGAGAGAAUCUGGCUGUGGGAAGAAUCUGCGUAUUGUGUGCAUUACGUGCGGUGGAAGAUGAAGUGGUCGAAAUGGUUCAGGAUCUAGAAAGGAACAAAUUUCUACUAUCGUGACGAUUCGACCGAUUUUGUGUUCAUAUUGAUUUUGGAAGGUUUUUACCAAAGCGAUUUUUAUAGAAGCUGGCUGAAAAGCUAGGACGUUUGGCGAUCUGCAGUAGCUUUUGGUGGCCAGAAGCUGUAAAAAGCCGAAACAAACAGGGCCUAGAAUGGCUACUAGGUUUAGGUUGGAUGCACGAGAAACAUAUGCAUGCAGCACUCCAGUCCCUGUAACUAUGGCUGGCACACACGUGGACAAUGUAGCAGGUCCAUAGAACAGCAAAUAUAGUACAUAUUAAACCUAUCUGAACUUUUAACACAAACAUCAGAGUGGCGCAGCGGAAGCGUGGUGGGCCCAUAACCCACAGGUCGCAGGAUCGAAACCUGCCUCUGAUAAUAUAUAUUUUUCUUUUUGCUUUAUUUUACACACACCAGUACACCACACAUCUCAAUCAGAUCAUUACGCAUGUAGCGAACACAAAUCGUAAAGCUACCGACGCACAGCAUCCAAAACCAUUACACCGACAGUAAAAGAAAAAACCGAAACCCUCAAAU